AUGCUCCCAAGGAAGCCUUUGAACUCUAAUCUGAUGCCUCAUCUUUACUCUUAUUCUCUUGUUCACAACAUUAUGUUAUAUUGUUAUCCUCUUAAAACUCCUACAGAGUCUUACUUUUAUUCAAAAAAAAUCUGUGAAUCAACCAAGAGAUGUUUCAGGUGCCUCUUUGCUGUCCGUGAAAUGCCACCCCAGCUUUCCAGCGCCCAAGCAAAGAUCUAUCAGCAAAGGGGCAAGUGCCUGAGGGUGCAAGGAUUUGGGAGAAAAGAACAGAGGACAAGUCUCUCCACCUCCAUUAAAGUCUGGCAUUCUCCAUUACUGAGACUCAGCAUCAAAGAAGACCUGUCAGGAAAUCUUUUUGCGUGGUUAUGGGUCAGAUGGGAAGAUGGUGACCACGAAGGCCCACUGGAAGAGGAUCCAACCUGCAGAGGGGAAAGAGAGCAAGAGCACAACACACCAAACACAAGUCUAUCCUCAGGAGAAGUGAGAGUUGGUGUCAAGAAGAAAUUAAAGAAAAAGCUAUCCCCGAGAGAAGUGAGAGUCGGGUUCAAGAACCACUGGCAAUUCAGGGAAGCCACUGUUGCUUCCUACCAGCGCCUCUUUUUGCCACCAAGUUGGAAGGCCAACAGAGGAGAGGAUCCAACCUGCAGAGGGGAAACAGAGCAAGAGACGAACACACCAGACACAAGUCUAUCCUCAGGAGAGGUGAGAGCUAGUGCCAAAGACAAAGUACAGACAAAGCUAUCCUCGGGAGAAGUGAGAGCCGGGUCCAAGAACCAUUGGCAAUUCAAGGAAGCCACUGUUGCUUCUCACUAGCUCCUCUCUUUGCCACCAAGUUGGAAAGCCAACAGAAAAGCUAAAGAACCAGAGGAGAGAUACUCCAUUUUAUUCUCAAAAGAAAGUGAAAUCUCUCACUCGGUUUCAGCAAAGCUAGGGGAGGAAGGUUCUUCUUUGCUCUCAGAGGUCAGCAAACCACAGAACUCUGGCUCAAUCAAUUGUUUCUCGUAUUGUCCCUCUGGGGACAAUGAUGUUCUCCACUAUGGUUCCUCAAAGAAGAUGGAAGAAGGCUCCUGUUGUCUGCCUUUCUUGGCUUAUCCAACCCGAGAUUGUUUAGAAACCCAGGAAUCCCUGAAAGAAGAUGCUGUAGGCCAAGGCCCCUUUAUCAAAAAUGAUCACUAUCAUUCAUUCUGGGUCACCGGAGGGGGAGACAUCACUAAAUCUGAAGAACGCCAACUCAUGGAGCCCGUGGGGAAAAAAGGAGAAAGCCAAGCAGGUAAAGGACUGUGAAGGUGUAGAAAGAGAGUGUGCCGUCCGCAGAGACAAAAGUGGAAAAAGAUGAUGAAAAGAAAGAGCAGCUGACUAGCAGCGAAAGUAACAAAGAAGAGAGGAAAGGGUUAACAGAUAAGGAAGGGGAGUUAAAGCUGGAAGUAUGUUUGGCUGAAGGGGAGUGGGAGGAGUCAGAGGUGACAGUUGGUGGAGGUUAUAAGGAUAAGGAGGGGGUGGUGUGGUUCAGUGCUGUGGUGGAGGAGUACGAAAGAAGAAAGAGGGAAGAAAAACGACAGGCCUUUGAGAGAGUCCGCACCCAAGGCUUAAUAAAAGAUUUCCCUAACCUUCA
Pogona vitticeps (central bearded dragon) is the source of this 1612-nucleotide long non-coding RNA. The record is from Ensembl. NCBI's taxonomy places the organism in Eukaryota, Metazoa, Chordata, Lepidosauria, Squamata, Agamidae.